Long non-coding RNA from Drosophila sulfurigaster albostrigata, 510 nucleotides. RefSeq lists it as uncharacterized. The transcript is spliced from 4 exons. The record is from RefSeq and is a predicted model, not a curated record. Lineage: Eukaryota; Metazoa; Arthropoda; Insecta; Diptera; Drosophilidae.
GGAUCGUCCACACACAAACAGAAUUUUAAAGAUGUGGCUACCUUAUUUUCCAUUAUCUUCAUUGUGUUGGCCUUCGUAGGUUUCGCUAUAUAUGGGUUGGUCAUCUACGGUAUAAAGGAGAACCAGGAUGCGAUGUUAAUUUCCUACUUGAUAUUGAGUGGAAUUAGCGCUAUACUCAGCUUUUUACGAGUGUUGCUUAUCGCGUUUGACUUGGUUGCAGGAACGCACAACAUUUUUUACUUCUUUUUCUCAGUAUUUUCUUGCAUGUUUCAGAUCUUCACUUUCCGCGUGAUGUACUCUCUGUACACAACUAUUAAAAUGGACAUCUUAAACGGUCGUGUAUAGGUUCCGCCUUUCGCAGCAGCCGUACCAUUGCAACAAAACGUUCCCACCGUAUAUCCCCCAAUGACGUAUAUCCAACUACCUACCCCACCUAUAAUAAGGUAUAAGUUCGGGAAACCUCAUCUUUGUUACAUGUAUCGCCAUUUAUGGAAGCUUACUCAUCGUGAU